UAAUGUAUGGGGAUCUGCCCGGAUAGAGGGGGAUAACUACUGGAAACGGUGGCAAUACCGCAUAAUGUCUACGGACCAAAGCAGGGGCUCUUCGGGACCUUGCACUAUCGGAUGAACCCAUAUGGGAUUAGCUAGUAGGUGGGGUAAAGGCUCACCUAGGCGACGAUCUCUAGCUGGUCUGAGAGGAUGAUCAGCCACACUGGGACUGAGACACGGCCCAG
RNAcentral lists this ribosomal RNA (221 nucleotides) under uncultured bacterium. RNAcentral's name for it is "partial 16S ribosomal RNA". It matches the Rfam family "Bacterial small subunit ribosomal RNA", at positions 111 to 334 of the family's 1533-position model. The record is from RNAcentral.